UUACUACUUAACAUACACAUGCAAGCAUCCACCCCCCUGUGAAAACGCCCUUCAACCCCUGCUAGGGGCAAGGAGCCGGUAUCAGGCACGAAAAAUCUGCCCAAGACACCUAGCUUUGCCACACCCACAAGGGAGUUCAGCAGUGAUUAAUAUUGAGUAUUAGCGCAAGCUUGACUCAGUUAGAGUAAAACAGAGCCGGCCAAUCUGGUGCCAGCCGCCGCGGUUACACCACGUGGCUCAAAUUAACCCCAUCCGGCGUAAAGCGUGAUUAAAGUUCUUACACACUAGAGCUAAACCAAAACCGAGCCGUGACACGCCUGUAACCAAGAAGAUCAGAAACGAAAGUUACUCUAAUACAACCAACUUGAAUUCACGACAGCUGGGAGACAAACUGGGAUUAGAUACCCCACUAUGCCCAGCCAUAAACUUUUAUUUACACCCUAAAUCGCCAGGGAACUACGAGCUAAGCUUAAAACCCAAGGGACUUGACGGUACCCCAUAUCCCCCUAGAGGAGCCUGUCCUUUAAUCGAUAAUCCACGUUAAACCUCACCAUUUUUAGUUAAUCAGCCUGUAUACCUCCGUCGUCAGCUUACCACGUGAGCGCCAAUUAGUGAGCCUAAUGUUAUUUCACCAACACGUCAGGUCAAGGUGCAGCAAAUGAAAUGGAAAGAGAUGGGCUACACUUUCUACAUUAGAAAAUACGAAAAACUACCUAUGAAACCUAGUUAGAAGGCGGAUUUAGCAGUAAAAAGGAAUUAGCACAUCCAUUUUAACCCGGCACUGGGGUGUGUACACACCGCCCGUCACCCUCUUCAAAGCUAUUAACAAAGUUUUUAACUAACAAGAGCACAAUAGAAGAGGCAAGUCGUAACAUGGUAAGUAUACCGGAAGGUGUGCUUGGAAA
RNAcentral lists this non-coding RNA (905 nucleotides) under Ansonia platysoma (Luidan stream toad). RNAcentral's name for it is "partial 12S ribosomal RNA". It matches the Rfam family "Bacterial small subunit ribosomal RNA". Lineage: Eukaryota; Metazoa; Chordata; Amphibia; Anura; Bufonidae. The record is from RNAcentral.